RNAcentral lists this long non-coding RNA (1380 nucleotides) under Oncorhynchus mykiss (rainbow trout). RNAcentral's name for it is "lncRNA (ENSOMYG00000048770.1)". Lineage: Eukaryota; Metazoa; Chordata; Actinopteri; Salmoniformes; Salmonidae. The record is from RNAcentral.
AUGACAAAGCAUUAUUUCUCUCGCUCUCGUGCUCUUUCUCCCUCUCUCUCUGUCUCUUUCUCACUUUGUCUGCCUUGUCUCUGUCUCUCUCUCUCUGUCUGUCUCUUUCUUACUUUGUCUGUCUCUUUCUCCCUCUCUCUCUCUGUUUGUCUCUUUCUCACUUUGUCUGUCUCUUUCUCCCUCUCUCUCUGUCUGUCUCUUUCUCACUUUGUCUGUCUCUUUCUCCCUCUCUCUCUGUCUGUCUGUCUCUUUCUCACUUUGUCUGCCUUGUCUCUGUCUCUCUGUCUCGUCUUUGUCUCACUUUGUCUGCCUUGUCUCUGUCUCUCUGUCUGUCUCUUUCUCACUUUGUCUGCCUUGUCUCUGUCUCUCUCUCUCUGUCUCGUCUUUGUCUCACUUUGUCUGCCUUGUUUCUGUCUCUCUGUCUCUCUGUCUCAUCUUUGUCUCACUUUGUCUGCCUUGUUUCUGUCUCUCUCUCUCUCUGUCUCGUCUUUUUCUCACUUUGUCUGCCUUGUCUGUCUCUGUCUCUCUCUCUUUGUCUCUUUCUCACUUUGUCUGCCUUGUCUCUGUCUCUCUCUCUCUGUCUCACUUUGUCUGUCUUGUUUCUGUCUCUCUCUCUCUGUCUCGUCUUUGUCUCACUUUGUCUGCCUUGUCUCUGUCUCUCUCUCUCUGUCUCUUUCUCACUUUGUCUGCCUUGUCUCUCUCUCUCUGUCUCUUUCUCACUUUGUCUGCCUUGUCUCUGUCUCUCUCUCUCUGUCUCGUCUUUGUCUCACUUUGUCUGCCUUGUUUCUGUCUCUCUGUCUCUCUGUCUCAUCUUUGUCUCACUUUGUCUGCCUUGUUUCUGUCUCUCUCUCUCUCUGUCUCGUCUUUUUCUCACUUUGUCUGCCUUGUCUGUCUCUGUCUCUCUCUCUUUGUCUCUUUCUCACUUUGUCUGCCUUGUCUCUGUCUCUCUCUCUCUGUCUCACUUUGUCUGUCUUGUUUCUGUCUCUCUCUCUCUGUCUCGUCUUUGUCUCACUUUGUCUGCCUUGUCUCUGUCUCUCUCUCUCUGUCUCUUUCUCACUUUGUCUGCCUUGUCUCUCUCUCUCUGUCUCUUCCUCACUUUGUCUGCCUUGUCUCUGUCUCUCUCUCUCUGUCUCGUCUUUGUCUCACUUUGUCUGCCUUGUCUCUGUCUAUCUCUCUCUGUCUCGUCUUUGUCUGUCUCUUUUUCUCUCUCUCUCUGUCUCUCAUUCUCUCUCCCCCCUCUCUCUCUCUUUCUCUCUCCCCCCUCUCCCUCUCUUUCUCUCUCCCCCCUCUCCCUCUCUAUCUCAAUUUCAAUUUAAGGGGCUUUAUUGGCAUGGGAAACAUAUGUUUUACAUUGCCAAAGCAAGUGAAAUAGAUCAUUAA